AGAGUUUGAUCAUGGCUCAGAUUGAACGCUGGCGGCAGGCCUAACACAUGCAAGUCGAGCGGUAGCACAGAGAGCUUGCUCUCGGGUGACGAGCGGCGGACGGGUGAGUAAUGUCUGGGAAACUGCCUGAUGGAGGGGGAUAACUACUGGAAACGGUAGCUAAUACCGCAUAACGUCGCAAGACCAAAGUGGGGGACCUUCGGGCCUCAUGCCAUCAGAUGUGCCCAGAUGGGAUUAGCUAGUAGGUGGGGUAACGGCUCACCUAGGCGACGAUCCCUAGCUGGUCUGAGAGGAUGACCAGCCACACUGGAACUGAGACACGGUCCAGACUCCUACGGGAGGCAGCAGUGGGGAAUAUUGCACAAUGGGCGCAAGCCUGAUGCAGCCAUGCCGCGUGUGUGAAGAAGGCCUUCGGGUUGUAAAGCACUUUCAGCGGGGAGGAAGGCGAUAAGGUUAAUAACCUUGUCGAUUGACGUUACCCGCAGAAGAAGCACCGGCUAACUCCGUGCCAGCAGCCGCGGUAAUACGGAGGGUGCAAGCGUUAAUCGGAAUUACUGGGCGUAAAGCGCACGCAGGCGGUCUGUCAAGUCGGAUGUGAAAUCCCCGGGCUCAACCUGGGAACUGCAUUCGAAACUGGCAGGCUAGAGUCUUGUAGAGGGGGGUAGAAUUCCAGGUGUAGCGGUGAAAUGCGUAGAGAUCUGGAGGAAUACCGGUGGCGAAGGCGGCCCCCUGGACAAAGACUGACGCUCAGGUGCGAAAGCGUGGGGAGCAAACAGGAUUAGAUACCCUGGUAGUCCACGCCGUAAACGAUGUCGAUUUGGAGGUUGUGCCCUUGAGGCGUGGCUUCCGGAGCUAACGCGUUAAAUCGACCGCCUGGGGAGUACGGCCGCAAGGUUAAAACUCAAAUGAAUUGACGGGGGCCCGCACAAGCGGUGGAGCAUGUGGUUUAAUUCGAUGCAACGCGAAGAACCUUACCUGGUCUUGACAUCCACAGAACUUUGCAGAGAUGGUUUGGUGCCUUCGGGAACUGUGAGACAGGUGCUGCAUGGCUGUCGUCAGCUCGUGUUGUGAAAUGUUGGGUUAAGUCCCGCAACGAGCGCAACCCUUAUCCUUUGUUGCCAGCGGUCCGGCCGGGAACUCAAAGGAGACUGCCAGUGAUAAACUGGAGGAAGGUGGGGAUGACGUCAAGUCAUCAUGGCCCUUACGACCAGGGCUACACACGUGCUACAAUGGCAUAUACAAAGAGAAGCGACCUCGCGAGAGCAAGCGGACCUCAUAAAGUAUGUCGUAGUCCGGAUUGGAGUCUGCAACUCGACUCCAUGAAGUCGGAAUCGCUAGUAAUCGUAGAUCAGAAUGCUACGGUGAAUACGUUCCCGGGCCUUGUACACACCGCCCGUCACACCAUGGGAGUGGGUUGCAAAAGAAGUAGGUAGCUUAACCUUCGGGAGGGCGCUUACCACUUUGUGAUUCAUGACUGGGGUGAAGUCGUAACAAGGUAACCGUAGGGGAACCUGCGGUUGGAUCACCU
Molecule: ribosomal RNA, 1528 nt
Filed under: Klebsiella pneumoniae
Lineage: Bacteria; Pseudomonadati; Pseudomonadota; Gammaproteobacteria; Enterobacterales; Enterobacteriaceae
Also listed under: 1 other name
Description: bacterial SSU rRNA
Rfam family: Bacterial small subunit ribosomal RNA
Source: RNAcentral